UACGGAGGGGACUAGCGUUGUUCGGAAUUACUGGGCGUAAAGCGCACGUAGGCGGAUUUGUAAGUCAGGGGUGAAAUCCCGGGGCUCAACCCCGGAACUGCCUUUGAUACUGCGAAUCUCGAGUCCGGAAGAGGUGAGUGGAAUUCCUAGUGUAGAGGUGAAAUUCGUAGAUAUUAGGAAGAACACCAGUGGCGAAGGCGGCUCACUGGUCCGGUACUGACGCUGAGGUGCGAAAGCGUGGGGAGCAAACAGGG
This 254-nucleotide ribosomal RNA is filed under the name uncultured bacterium. RNAcentral describes it as "partial 16S ribosomal RNA". It matches the Rfam family "Bacterial small subunit ribosomal RNA", at positions 524 to 777 of the family's 1533-position model. The record is from RNAcentral.